Molecule: long non-coding RNA, 357 nt
Filed under: Panax ginseng (ginseng)
Lineage: Eukaryota; Viridiplantae; Streptophyta; Magnoliopsida; Apiales; Araliaceae
Description: long non-coding RNA (PGIN_LNC019175)
Source: RNAcentral
CCUUGCUUAGUAUGCAUUUUUCCACUAUUUCAGCAAGGAACUCGAAUUCCUCUGGAAACUCCUUUUUCUUCAUAUCCUUUAGACUAGGGUUUCUUUGGUACCCCAUAAUCUCCUUUGCUUGCUCAGUAUCGAUCUCAUCAAGGUUUCUCAGUCCUAGGUCAAGGAAACCUAAGCAUUGAUUGAUAUCGGAUGAUUUUAGUUUAAGAGACUGACCUUUAACCUUGGUUGAAAGGGUUCCGGCAUUUAUGAAUGCAUUUGAGUAGAAUUUCUUGACCAGUUCAGUAUAUACUCGAGUGCUAGCCUCAAGACAUUCUGAGAAUCAAGCUUUCUUCACAAGUUCGAGAAUGUCUCUGAACU